This 498-nucleotide ribosomal RNA is filed under the name uncultured bacterium. Its description in RNAcentral is "partial 16S ribosomal RNA". It matches the Rfam family "Bacterial small subunit ribosomal RNA", at positions 30 to 523 of the family's 1533-position model. The record is from RNAcentral.
AUUGAACGCUGGCGGCACGCCUUACACAUGCAAGUCGAACGGUAACAGGUCUUCGGAUGCUGACGAGUGGCGAACGGGUGAGUAAUACAUCGGAACGUGCCUAGUAGUGGGGGAUAACUACUCGAAAGAGUGGCUAAUACCGCAUGAGAUCUACGGAUGAAAGCAGGGGAUCGCAAGACCUUGCGCUACUAGAGCGGCCGAUGGCAGAUUAGGUAGUUGGUGGGAUAAAAGCUUACCAAGCCGACGAUCUGUAGCUGGUCUGAGAGGACGGUCAGCCACACUGGGACUGAGACACGGCCCAGACUCCUACGGGAGGCAGCAGUGGGGAAUUUUGGACAAUGGGCGCAAGCCUGAUCCAGCAAUGCCGCGUGCAGGAUGAAGGCCUUCGGGUUGUAAACUGCUUUUGUACGGAACGAAAAGCCCUGGGUUAAUACCCUGGGGUCAUGACGGUACCGUAAGAAUAAGCACCGGCUAACUACGUGCCAGCAGCCGCGGUAA